UAUCUCUCCGUACGGGGAAGGAUGAGAAGCUUCGAAUAAGGUUCGAUUCGAGCGAAAGCGAGAAAGCGUUGCCGCAGGCAACGACCCGAAGGG
This 93-nucleotide small RNA is filed under the name Salmonella enterica. Its description in RNAcentral is "partial RtT sRNA". It matches the Rfam family "RtT RNA", at positions 1 to 91 of the family's 130-position model. Rfam says of the family: This family represents a bacterial cis-regulatory element known as RtT RNA. The exact function of RtT is unknown although it is thought that it may be involved in changing the cellular response in relation to amino acid starvation. Lineage: Bacteria; Pseudomonadati; Pseudomonadota; Gammaproteobacteria; Enterobacterales; Enterobacteriaceae. The record is from RNAcentral. RNAcentral also lists the same sequence under 1 other name.